RNAcentral lists this ribosomal RNA (443 nucleotides) under uncultured bacterium. Its description in RNAcentral is "partial 16S ribosomal RNA". It matches the Rfam family "Bacterial small subunit ribosomal RNA", at positions 355 to 788 of the family's 1533-position model. The record is from RNAcentral.
UGGGGAAUAUUGCGCAAUGGGCGCAAGCCUGAUGCAGCCAUGCCGCGUGUGUGAAGAAGGCCUUCGGGUUGUAAAGCACUUUCAGCGAGGAGGAAGGUGGUGAACUUAAUACGUUCAUCAAUUGACGUUACUCGCAGAAGAAGCACCGGCUAACUCCGUGCCAGCAGCCGCGGUAAUACGGAGGGUGCAAGCGUUAAUCGGAAUUACUGGGCGUAAAGCGCACGCAGGCGUUUGUUAAGUCAGAUGUGAAAUCCCCGGGCUCAACCUGGGAACUGCAUUUGAAACUGGCAAGCUAGAGUCUCGUAGAGGGGGGUAGAAUUCCAGGUGUAGCGGUGAAAUGCGUAGAGAUCUGGAGGAAUACCGGUGGCGAAGGCGGCCCCCUGGACGAAGACUGACGCUCAGGUGCGAAAAGCGUGGGGGAGCAAACAGGAUUAGAUACCCCU